This 254-nucleotide ribosomal RNA is filed under the name uncultured bacterium. RNAcentral describes it as "partial 16S ribosomal RNA". It matches the Rfam family "Bacterial small subunit ribosomal RNA", at positions 524 to 776 of the family's 1533-position model. The record is from RNAcentral.
GACAGAGGUGCCGAGCGUUAGGCGGAAUCACUGGGCUUAAAGCGUGUGUAGGCGGAUGGGUAAGUACCUUGUGAAAAUCCCACGGCUCAACCGUGGAACUGCUCGGUGUACUGCUCGUCUUGAGCCAACUAGGGGCGACCGGAACAAACGGUGGAGCGGUGAAAUGCGUAGAUAUCGUUUGGAACGCCGAUGGUGAAAACAGGUCGCUGGGGUUGUGCUGACGCUGAGACACGAAAGCCAGGGGAGCGAACGGG